This 251-nucleotide ribosomal RNA is filed under the name uncultured Luteibacter sp. Its description in RNAcentral is "partial 16S ribosomal RNA". It matches the Rfam family "Bacterial small subunit ribosomal RNA", at positions 524 to 774 of the family's 1533-position model. The record is from RNAcentral. Lineage: Bacteria; Pseudomonadati; Pseudomonadota; Gammaproteobacteria; Lysobacterales; Rhodanobacteraceae.
UACGGAGGGUGCAAGCGUUAAUCGGAAUUACUGGGCGUAAAGCGUGCGUAGGCGGUUCGUUAAGUCUGCUGUGAAAGCCCCGGGCUCAACCUGGGAAUGGCAGUGGAUACUGGCGAGCUAGAGUGUGUCAGAGGAUGGUGGAAUUCCCGGUGUAGCGGUGAAAUGCGUAGAGAUCGGGAGGAACAUCAGUGGCGAAGGCGGCCAUCUGGGACAACACUGACGCUGAGGCACGAAAGCGGGGGGAGCAAACA